UGCCGGGAGAUUCGGGGCCCAACCUCCCACCCGUGUUGCCCGAACCUAUGUUGCCUCGGCGGGCCCCGCGCCCGCCGACGGCCCCCCUGAACGCUGUCUGAAGUUGCAGUCUGAGACCUAUAACGAAAUUAGUUAAAACUUUCAACAACGGAUCUCUUGGUUCCGGCAUCGAUGAAGAACGCAGCGAAAUGCGAUAACUAAUGUGAAUUGCAGAAUUCAGUGAAUCAUCGAGUCUUUGAACGCACAUUGCGCCCUCUGGUAUUCCGGAGGGCAUGCCUGUCCGAGCGUCAUUGCUGCCCUCAAGCCCGGCUUGUGUGUUGGGCCCCGUCCCCCCCGCCGGGGGGACGGGCCCGAAAGGCAGCGGCGGCACCGCGUCCGGUCCUCGAGCGUAUGGGGCUUCGUCACCCGCUCUAGUAGGCCCGGCCGGCGCCAGCCGACCCCCAACCUUUAAUUAUCUCAGGUUGACCUCGGAUCAGGUAGGGAUACCCGCUGAACUUAA
This 499-nucleotide ribosomal RNA is filed under the name Penicillium griseofulvum. Its description in RNAcentral is "eukaryotic LSU rRNA". The stretch from base 137 to 290 matches the Rfam family "5.8S ribosomal RNA". The record is from RNAcentral. Lineage: Eukaryota; Fungi; Ascomycota; Eurotiomycetes; Eurotiales; Aspergillaceae.